GGAGGGUUUAUAGAAUACACUUUAUUUCCAGUUAUUUUUGCUGCAAGAGCAAAGAAUUGAAUGAAAUUGUUGAUGUGAUUCUAGCCUUAUGAUGCUAGGAAGAUGCCCACCAUCCUGUUCUAUUCUAUAAAGUGAGAUGACUGUAUAACAUUUUAUCAGUUUAAUUACAAAGUCCAUUUAAAGAGAACUCCCUGGGGAAGGUAGAAUUUAAAUCCUUACAGUGUACAAUUAUCUUCACCCAGUCAGGGCAUAAAAUAAACUGCACACUUCCUGGUUCUCAGUUCAAAAAUGUUUUUAAAAUGCUGUAAGUGGUAAAUAUAGCAUGUUAGCAAACACUGUUUGCUGCCGGAUUGUUCAAAAAUGUAUUCACGCAAACAAUUGUUGGGAUAAUUAUUAAUGCUAAAAAUAUUUGAAGUUGCAGUGACUCCGCAUCUGAAGUCUAGUAUGUGUCAUUUGUUUUAUUCAUGAUAAACAGAUCAUUUAGUUGGAAAAAUCCCAUCUGCUUAGAUAUAUCUCUUAUUAUUUAUGAGAACCAUGUUUAGGAAUGCAGGCGGCACAUGUGCAUAAUUAAUCCUGAAGAGAAUUAGACAUUGUUUGAUUCACAGCUGAAUGCAAUUAGCAUUAGGAAGUUUACAUAUGUUGGCAAUAACACAGAUUAGCAACUAAAGUGCUUGUUAAAAAAUUUAACCUGAGGCUGCUGGAGCAGACCUCUCUUAAUGAUGCUUUAAAUGUUGUUGAUGAAGUAAUAAUCAAUUUUGUUUUAUAAAUAGUAAAUCAAGAAUUUAGGUCUAAUUAGCAGUGCUACAGAUCACUUCACUUACAUAUCAGAUGUACUUGUGAUGUGUGCUAUGAACUUUCUCGGAGUCUUGUGUGCAAACAGUUGUUAUGGGGAAGACAUGAUCCUUUCUGGAAGAAAGAAAUCACUCUCCAGCCAGAGAAGAGUGAGGCGUCUACCUUUUAGAAGGACUUCUCUGGAGAUGUUCAGCAGAAGAGCUGCGUCUUUGUCUCCCUGCAGCUUUUAAUUGCAGGAGAGAGAAACAAUGCCCUGUCUUGGCAAGCAGAGCCAUUAGCCAGUUUUACAGACUGUGAAACGGAGUCAUCUAAUGGGGAGGGAGGAGAAAUGGAAAUGACGAAAAUGAGGCCGCAAGUAAAAUGGAGCUGUAAUUGUUUGCACUUCAACUUCGAGAAGUUCACCAUUAAUUAAAAUGUUUCUACACCACUUGCCAGCCACCAGAAUGGUAAGAAGGAGGCAAGUCUGCCUGGGAGGCAGACCGCACCUGCAGCAUUUGGAAGUUUCCAGGCUAGGGGUCAAAUCGGAGCUAUAGCAGCCGGCCUGUGCCACAGCUGCAGCGACACCAGAUCUGAGCCAUGUCUGCAACCUACACUACAGUUCAUAGCACGCCGGAUCCUUAACCCACUGAGCAAGGCCAGGGAUUGAACCUGAGUCAUCCUCAUGGAUACUAGUGAGGUUUGUUACAACUGUGCCACAAUGGGAGCUCCUCACCUGGCACUUUUCUCACAGCCCUCAGUUAUGAUUUUGACUCUUCCUGUGCCUUGUUAUAAAUUAGUAUUGUACAUUUUUCAGAAUGAACAGGGAUAUGGAUGUAGUUUAUUUGGGAAAUAUUUCCCCUAUUUUAUAGAGUCUGCCUCACAUUUCUUUUUCACAUUUUAACAUCUCUGAAAUGUGAGUGGCUCUCACAGUGCUGACCAUCCUAGAGUUAAUUAGCAACUUUAUCAUAAAAUAAUACUAAUAGCCUCUUAGAUUCAAUUAAAUGUGGGACAGAAUGCAACUUCCAUGCCAGGCUCUGUGCUGGGGAUGAGGAAUAAAUGAGAUUUACAUCAUAUGAUGCAAAAGGAGUAUAAUAAGGGCAUGUACAAAGAACAUGCUUCACACUGAACUUGUAGAACGUGAACUGCAUUUACUGAGUGGCUCAACAAGUAUUUGAACAUGAAGUCUUAUAACAGGGUCAUAUACUAAUACCCAUUGUCAUGAUAGUGACUCUUUUCUGGAUGAUAAGCAGUGUCAGCAGAUGUGUGUAGAAUGUAAGCUCUGUGGGAGAGGGAGUUUUUUCUGUAUGUUCACUGCACCAUCCCUAUCAACAGUACUUGGCACCUGGAGUCACUCAAUAAUUACCUGUUAAAUGAAGAAGGAACCAGACCAGGGGUUGACUUUGCCCUGGGAGCAAAGAUUGUUUUUACACAUGUCAAUGGUUGAAAACAAAAAUCAAAGGAAGACUCAUAUUUCAUGGCAUACCGGAAUUGCAGGAAAUGCAAAUUCUUGUGUAUAUAAAUAAAGUUUUAUUGACACAUCCACCUUUAUACACAUUUUGCCUAUGACUGUUUUCUCACUACAAAGGCAGAGUUUAGUUGUAAAAGUAAACUUAGGGCCCACAAACCCCCAAAUAUUUACUAUUUACAGAAUAGGAAGACAUUGGCAUUCACAGAGAAAAUUUGCUGACUCUAGGCUGGGCUAUUGUUGUCGGAGAGAUAGGAUCUUGGGAGAUUAGGUACAGCCUGGGAGUUCUGUGGCCUCACUCCCCUGCUCAGGGAAUCACUUCCUGCUCCCCACCCCUCUGGUUGAGUAAACUUGAACAUCACCACUAAUGACAUCCUUGAUGACAGGGAAGCUUAACUCUAUUCCAAGACCCUUCACACACAUAUGCUACAGUUACCCCUUGACUCUCAUAAAAUUAAAUUAAUUCUGGCUCUCCUGCUAGAGAUGCAUAAGCUGAAUUGUAUACUUAAAGCUGAAUGAUAAUACCUCCUGGUACAUGAUCAAAUUUGGUACAACUUUAAUCCAUUUGGCUUGUAUCCAAGAAGACCCAUUAGAGGAAAAAAGUACCAUCUGAAUUUCAUUAUCCAAAUAGUUUGUGUUAGGUGGUCCUGAGACGUGACCCUCAAGAGUGUUAUGCUUUGUAUUUAAAAUGAUCAGUUCUGAAGGUCCUCUCCUUCUUCACAUCUGCUAUGUGCUAGAUGUUUUCUCUUGUCCACUAGGAGUGCAAUAACUAUUAAAGAAUCACAACACAUGGACAGGCAGUCAGGGAGUCAACACAGUCUGAGGUUAUCUGAGAUCAGGGCAAUGUUACAAGUGAAUCAGCUGUUCCAAGGUGGGUCCCUGGACCUUGGGCCAGUCGCUGACAAUACAUAGAGAGCAGCUUUCAAAGGAAGGAAUACAGGCAUGGGGAGAGAAAGCAUUAUUCACUCUGAUGCUCUGACUUCCCUUCCCCUUUCACUCCUCAACUGCAUAACCUGCUAGAGACAGAAACUAAUUCUUCUGCUUGAAAACAGAGACACAAACUAUCCCAUGAUUAUGGGCUUGCAUAUCUCUAAGCACCACCACCCAGAACCGUACACUUAACCACCCAUAAAUAUUUUAGAAUGAGUUAGUAACAUCAGAACUCUCUAAGAACAUAGAGCUAAGGAAAGAAACAGAAUUGGAAAAAGUUUUUUUUUUUUUUUUUAAAUUGGAUUAAACAUCAAAGUUCCAAGCAUGGGGUAAUGCCAACAGGCCAAAUCUAUGUUCAUUUGUUGGGAAGCUGUUGAGUAACCAAGAGGUAUCUAGAAAGAUUUGCUAAAACUGGGAGGAAGAUGCUUUGUUACAGAGACUACUAAGUCAUCCAGUAUCUAUUUCCCCCUUCUGGUUACACACACAUAUGUGUGAGUGCGUGUUCACGCUCACACACAUGCACACACACACAGAGUGAAAGCAGAGAUUGUGUCAACCCGAUAGAUACUUUCCCAUACUCCUUAUAGUUAGGUGUGCCCGUGUAUCUAAAUUCUGGACAGUGAGCAGAGAUAAUGUUUGUCAUCUCUAUAUCAGACCCUUUAAAGGAAGCUUCUUAUUCCUCACCAUGUCUCUUUUCUCCUUGCUGUGCGUAAGAACGAGGAUAUGGUACUAGUAAUCUAGGGAAUUGGUCUGUAGAGCUGCCAUAACAAAGUUCCACAAGGUGGAUGCCUUAAACAACACAAAUAUAUUUUCUCACAAUUUGAGAAGCUAGAAGUUCUAGAGCAAGAUGCCAUAAGGUUGGGUUUCUGAUGAGGCCUCUCUCCCUGGUUUGCAGAUAGCUGCUCUCUCACUGUGUCCUCCACACGGCCCAUCUGUGUGCACAGACAAAGAGGGGGCUCUGGUGUCUCUUCCUCUUUUUAUAAGAGCCCAUGGGAUUAAGGCCCCCUUUCAUUUAACCUUUAUUACUUCCUUAUAGGCCUUAGUUCCAAAUACUUUCACAUUGGGAGGGGGAGCGGGUGAGAGCUUCAACAUAGGAAUUUUGAGAGGGACACUAGUCAAUCCAUAACGACCGGGUUUGCUGAGUCCCCUAGGUGAUGCUGGAGCACAAGGAUGGAAAACACCUGGAUCCUAGAUGAGUUCUUAACAUAGACGUGUGUAACCUCUUUGGACAGUCCCCCUCCUUCAGGACUGUUCUGUCUGAGCCACUGGGUUUCUGGGUGUGUUUGUUACAGCAGCUGUAUCCUAGCAGAAUGUGAAAGAAGAGGGCCAAAUGGACCCGCCUCUCACUUUACGACUCUACUUGGAGAAAAAACAGAACAAGUCACCCAUCCUCUUAUCUGAAUCUACUUUUGAAUUUGCUUUGACUCCAUUUAAUACUAAUCUGAUUAUAUUUAAAUAGGCAAAUGUUUAGAUAUUACAGUUGCAUCUUUUACAUAACAGCCCUCUCUCUAAUCUGUGCAGUGGAAGGAGUUUUGGUUGUACUCUGUGAUAGACGUGAAGCUACCAAAAGUAUAAAUUUAGAUCUUUUAUUAAUUAUAUUUCUUGCCAAGUUCAUGUUGCCAGCUUGAAAGAAUGUGCACACUUUUUUAAAAGUUGAUACUUCUGGAAAAAUACAAUUAUUUGUGAUGAAACCAAAGGACUUCAUGAAAACUUCUUUAGACUACUUAGAAAAGAUGGGAAAAGAGAGAAACUAUUGGGUUUCUUCUUCUUCUUUUUUUUUUAAAUUGUUGCACCCACGGCAUAUGGAAGUUCUCAGGACAGGGGUUAAAUCUGAGCACAGCGCCAACUUAUGCCACAGUUAUGUCAACGCAGAUCCUUUAAUCCACUGAGCCAGGCCAGGGAUCAAACCUGGGCCUCCAGAGCAAACUGAACCACUGCAGUUGGAUUCUUAACCCACUGCACCACAGCGGGAACUCCUGGGUUUCUUUUUUGAAUUAUAGAAUGUUCUAAAAGAUUAUGGUGAUGGUUGUGAAAUUCUAUGAGCUUACUAAAAAUCACUGAUCUGUAUUCUUUAAGUGGGUGAGUUACAUAUGUGCAUAUGGGAAAGCAAAGUAAAAAAACUCUACAGCUUUAAGUUAGAUUUCAGGAAUAAAAGGUUUGUGAGGAGCACUAGAAAAGCCAAGGCGGCCUUUGCUCUGGUAUACAGUUAUCCUGGUGGAGCCAAACAGCUCUGUGUAUUUGGAAGAGGGGAUACUGAAGAAGGCCCUGGCAUACAUGGGAACUCAACUGAAAACCAGUGUUUCCCUGUAGAAGUCACUAAGUUUAACAGGUAGACACAAGAGGACAAGAGAUACAGUGAUGGGGGUCUCUGAACCUACAUCAUCUAUGUUCAGCCUUCAGAGGGUCCCUCACACAACGAAUAGGCACAAUACCUUGUUUUGUUUUCCUAGGUUUUUUCUUGUAUUGUUAAAGGCAGAGAUAAGUGUUAAUUAAAUACUUUUAUCAAACCGAUUGAAUUACUCCUUUUUAUACUUUAUUCUGAACUUCACUCUCCUGAAUAAAUGAAAGCAGUUAUGUCCUCAGGGUGGGGGAAAUCCUCAGGUCCUAAACAGUAACUUAGACAUAGGGAUGUCUUUUUAACCCAAGUAUCAAGUUUGCCUUCACCUAUAUAUUCAUUCCCUUUUAUUAGAGUGUUGGUGAAAGUCAGGGUUGGAGCAUCAUAAAAAGUUUCAUAAUUUCCACAUUUCACUUUAAGCUUAAUUCCUCUUCUUAUGUCUUUUCUUCAUCUAGAGAAGCGUGGGUCAUUAUUUUUCUAUACUGUUCUUGAACUGUGGUACUGUUAGACCUUUCUCUUGGCUACAUAAUCCUGUUCCUUUGCUUAAAUUUUCCUUUAUAUUUCCUAUUUCUCAACACUUUAACCACUCUCAUUGAGGUCUUCAGUUGAUAUAAAUAGUCAUUUUCACUUUUUUCCUCUGCGUGAUUAUUUGAAAUAGUAUUUCUAAGAAAAAAUUAACAUAACUGUAAGUGGUUUUACACUAUGCACAUUACAAGGUCUAAAGAAAUACACUUCCAAGAUUCAAAAAGACUGGUGAUUACUUUUGAAAACUUAGACUAAAGUAGGUAGCUCCAGAAAAUGGGAUAAAAUAAACCAUGUAGGUUUUAUUUGUCAGAACAAAAAGAUUUUCCAUGAUAAUUACAAUUUGGCAAAUCUAUUGUGAGGCCCCUGGGGU
Molecule: long non-coding RNA, 6396 nt
Filed under: Sus scrofa (pig)
Lineage: Eukaryota; Metazoa; Chordata; Mammalia; Artiodactyla; Suidae
Description: lncRNA (ENSSSCG00050059894.1, ENSSSCG00060074252.1)
Source: RNAcentral